RNAcentral lists this ribosomal RNA (428 nucleotides) under uncultured Alphaproteobacteria bacterium. Its description in RNAcentral is "bacterial SSU rRNA". It matches the Rfam family "Bacterial small subunit ribosomal RNA", at positions 958 to 1385 of the family's 1533-position model. The record is from RNAcentral. Lineage: Bacteria; Pseudomonadati; Pseudomonadota; Alphaproteobacteria.
AACGCGAAGAACCUUACCAGCCCUUGACAUGUCUGGGACCGGUCGCAGAGACGCGACCUUCUCUUCGGAGCCCGGAACACAGGUGCUGCAUGGCUGUCGUCAGCUCGUGUCGUGAGAUGUUGGGUUAAGUCCCGCAACGAGCGCAACCCCCGUCCUUAGUUGCUACCAUUUAGUUGAGCACUCUAAGGAGACUGCCGGUGAUAAGCCGCGAGGAAGGUGGGGAUGACGUCAAGUCCUCAUGGCCCUUACGGGCUGGGCUACACACGUGCUACAAUGGCGGUGACAAUGGGACGCUAAGGGGCAACCCUUCGCAAAUCUCAAAAAGCCGUCUCAGUUCGGAUUGGGCUCUGCAACUCGAGCCCAUGAAGUUGGAAUCGCUAGUAAUCGUGGAUCAGCACGCCACGGUGAAUACGUUCCCGGGCCUUGUA